RNAcentral lists this small RNA (609 nucleotides) under Vigna angularis var. angularis. RNAcentral's name for it is "Non-protein coding transcript". The record is from RNAcentral. Lineage: Eukaryota; Viridiplantae; Streptophyta; Magnoliopsida; Fabales; Fabaceae.
AGGAACCUUCAAGUAUGUGUAGAGGGUAACAAAAGUCAAAAUAGAAAUGUAUUAGGUUAUGAGGUGACACUAAGCGCCUCCUUGGCAUCCUUUUUAGAGAAGAAUUCGCUUGAGCGUCCCUUAGCAUCCUCUGAGCACUUUAUUCCAGUGAGCUUUUGCGUCUAGGCACCCCUCCAACCAUUGAGCAUCUUUGGGCAGAUACUAUCCAUAUCUGCAUGAGCAGCAAAAUUUGUAAUGCAACAGCUCAAGAAGAUGUUUCCAAAAGCUUCUGAGCCGGUUCGGUAUCUGGUUUCUCGAAGGGGAACAGAUCCAGACUCUCUUGGAUGUUACUCAUAUGAUUUAGUUGGAAAACCAAUUGAUGUUUAUGACAAGCUUUUCCUGCACCCUUGGGCAAUCUAUUCUUUGGGGGAGAAGCUGUAAGCUUGGACAACCAGGGAUCUGUGCAUGGAGCAUACUCUGCUGCGGUUAUGGCUGCAGAAAAUUGUGACAAAUAUCUUUUAGAGAAACGUGUUGUCACGAUGGAAUAUGUAAAUUAUUGGUGUAUCUGAAUAACUUUUAUUUUAGCUUUAAAAUUUAAAAUUAAUUUUUAAAUUUUAUAAUCUUAGAAAA